CUCACUCUCCCAAACACUUUGAACUCGUUCUCUCUCAAUAAACCAGCAGUCAUCAGCAUCAAACCUCCAACAACCACCAACCCACCACUAGAUCUGAAGAUGUCGAAGGAAGCGAAGAAGACGGUGCAGGAGUGUGUGUCGGAGUUCAUCAGCUUCAUCUUCCCAAAUUCCGCAACCCUAGAACACCAUGAAACCCUAUCUCAACUUAGCCAUCUCUCACAUAAAGACACACGCAUCCCUCAUUUUUAGGGUUUCUCUGUUACUCCAAAGUCUUCAAUUUCAUGUUUUGGAAGCUUCAAAUCUGAACCCAUUUGUCGUUUCCGCUAAGGAAUUUUUUGGGAGUUUGCAUCGUAUGUUACAGUCCGCCAUUGCAGCCAAUCAGAGCUUUUAACUUCAGGAAACCUAAUAGACGUCCCUCAAUCAAACGGAAGAGUGAAUGUCAAGCACCCAAAACGUCCAAUUUCAUUCAAUACGCCAUGAAUCUAAUCGAUUGAAACUCCCAUGAUUGCUAUAUCAGUAAACGAAAUUCACCACCAAAUGCUAGGAAUCAUACCGUCGCUCAUAAAUGUACAGGAAAAUUCAGUGGCAUGUUCUUGAUCUUCUUCUUUCAGUGGCAUGUUCUUGAUCUUGUUCUUUGACUUGGGCGGUGCAGUGGUCUCCUCCGUAGACGACACAUGAUCAAACAAACAUACAAACUAACUGCAUCAUAAUUCUUCUUCUUCAUCAUCCCAAUCAGUCAGAUGCGGAUCAGGAAGGACAACAAGGGCCUGUACUUUUUUUUUGUACUCUCUUACUUUUUUGCUUUAUUAUGUCAAGAUUUUUGUAUUUUUAUGGUAAUAAUUUGCUGGUUUUUUGGGCUAGCACAACAAAAGCAUCUGGUAAGAAUCAAGUUUAACCAGUUGAUACCCCUAAUCGAUUGUUGGUUUAUAAUUUCCUCAUGACCUUUGCGUCGUUUUUUUUCUACUUCACGAAAUCAGGAUCAAGAACUGCAUCACAUAACUGGUUAAGCUGUCAGGAUCUGUAAGUAGUCAAUACCUUGCUGCUUUGCUUAUGGCUUCCCCCCUCACCCUCGGAGACGUACAGAUCGAAAUUAUCGAUAAAUUAAUAUCUAUACCACGCAUUACAGUUUACAGGAUCUGUUACCAUGACUCUUGCUGUCGUUGCUCUCUAUGCGGAUGGCCCUACAACCAUUGGAGAUGACAACCGUUAUUUGGCGCAGAGAGCAUGACAUACUCCAGUUAAACUGCGACCUUUGUUUGGCACAAGUAACAUGACAUACUCCAGCUCAACUGUUCAUUAAUCUGUAGAUUGACUCAUUUUCAAUGUCAAAUGCUGCACUUCCAAGGAGCAUUAAGGAUCAUGAGCGAAUUAUAUGGCUGGGUGACCUUAAUUACCGCUUUAAUUUGUCGUACGAGGAAACAUGCGAUUUGAUUUCCAAAAAUGCAUUGCUAGAGAGUGAUCAACUAAGACUAGGAGGUGUGUUUGACGGGUGGACAGAAGGCGCAUUUUCCACUGACUUACAAAUACGGGCCGAAUUCAGAUAAAUAUUAUGGCGAGGAUCCUAGAGGUGAAAGGCGUACGCCCACAUGGGGUUGAUGUUGGGCACCAGUUCUUUUCACCAUGUGACAUGGUUACUGUAGGUUUUCAUAACCAUUGUCUCAGUGGAAUUGAUUACAUUGGGGCAAGUUUUCAACAGGUGUGGUUUCCAGCAACUGAACCGUUGGAUGUCAUGUCGGCAAACAGGGGUGGUUUGCGCGGUGGAAAGAGAUAGUUAGAUACCCGGAAAGGGUUGGUGAAGUUGGGAGUGUAAUCGGGUGAGGUCGGAGACGGGUGAGACUUCGGGUCAACUGUGGUUAACGCAAGUAAACAGAGUCAGAUUUGGUGCUUAUAUAUAUACACACAACUUACAUAUGAUUCUUUUUAUUGCUUUAAGAUUUCAACCAUGUAACCACCUCGUAUUGUCGACUCCGCCGAACGCCCGGGUUCCCAUUAUUUCAAAUACUUUAGCUGUUUUAUGAAUUUGGUAUUAAAAAAGAUUAUGUAAAAUCGACCAA
This is a long non-coding RNA of Helianthus annuus (common sunflower), 2054 nucleotides long. RefSeq lists it as uncharacterized. The record is from RefSeq and is a predicted model, not a curated record. The transcript has 10 exons. NCBI's taxonomy places the organism in Eukaryota, Viridiplantae, Streptophyta, Magnoliopsida, Asterales, Asteraceae.